AGUCUUAUAGUCAUAAAAUGAUAUUAAAUUGCAAAUUUAAAGGAGGAAUAGUCUUAAGGCUU
Molecule: transfer RNA, 62 nt
Filed under: Cucujoidea sp. 40 KM-2017
Lineage: Eukaryota; Metazoa; Arthropoda; Insecta; Coleoptera
Description: tRNA-Cys
Source: RNAcentral